This 497-nucleotide ribosomal RNA is filed under the name uncultured bacterium. Its description in RNAcentral is "partial 16S ribosomal RNA". It matches the Rfam family "Bacterial small subunit ribosomal RNA", at positions 28 to 507 of the family's 1533-position model. The record is from RNAcentral.
GAUGAACGCUGGCGGCGUGCCUAAUACAUGCAGGUCGAGCGAACGGACGAGAAGCUUGCUUCUCUGAUGUUAGCGGCGGACGGGUGAGUAACACGUGGAUAACCUACCUAUAAGACUGGGAUAACUUCGGGAAACCGUAGCUAAUACCGGAUAAUAUUUUGAACCGCAUGGUUCAAAAGUGAAAGACGGUCUUGCUGUCACUUAUAGAUGGAUCCGCGCUGCAUUAGCUAGUUGGUAAGGUAACGGCUUACCAAGGCAACGAUGCAUAGCCGACCUGAGAGGGUGGUCGGCCACACUGGAACUGAGACACGGUCCAGACUCCUACGGGAGGCAGCAGUAGGGAAUCUUCCGCAAUGGGCGAAAGCCUGACGGAGCAACGCCGCGUGAGUGAUGAAGGUCUUCGGAUCGUAAAACUCUGUUAUUAGGGAAGAACAUAUGUGUAAGUAACUGUGCACAUCUUGACGGUACCUAAUCAGAAAGCCACGGCUAACUACGUG